GGAGCUCUGAACGCCACAUCUUGGCAUUUGGCAGUCUGCUUCAGGGUGUGGCUCACGUGGCCAUUUUGUGCCUGCUCGCCACAUGCACUCUCCUUGGAAAAAGACUGCGUCUGGCAAGCAAACCUUCCAGCAGGCCCUGAAACGGAGCUCCGAAAUAACGCAACUUACUCGGCGCUCCACUUACUUGAGCGCCAGACCCUGAAGCGGAGCAUGGAGCACCAGCGAUGCACAGUGUCCACACACAUCGAUGGAGUUACACAAACUCUGUAACCAACACUAUGUGAGGUUGGCCACAUAAGAAAGAAGUUCAGCCACAUGGAUUUUAGAAUUUGGAUGAGGAACUUAUGAGAACUAUGAGGGUUGAAUGAAAAGUAAUGCCUCCAUCUGCGUAACUCCUCAACAGAUGGCAGUACAGGUAUGUGGCAGGUACUGGCUUGUUCAGUAGACUCUCCUCUACAGUUCCACUUGGCGGGAAGCCUUAGCAUUGAAUGGUUGUAUUGUUGAAGUGCGAAGUAUGGACCCCUGCGCAGACGGUCAGUCAAUGCGACUUAAGAAAUGUGCAUUCAUUGAAUUCUUAACAGCAGAAGGUGUCAUCCCAAAGGAGAUUCAUCAGAGAAUGCAAGCUGUUUAUGGUGAUUGUGUUGAUGUGAGUACUGUGCGUCGUUGGGCGAGUAAGUUUAAAGAUGUUGAGGUGGGAACAUCUGACUUGCGUGACAAGCAAAGACUUGGACAUCCUGUGACAGCAACCACCGAUUUUCACAAGCAAAAGGUUGACAGAUUGAUUCAGGAUGAUCGUUGUAUCACUCAGAGAGAAAUUUCAAGCAUAAUCAGCAUUUCACAAGAAUGUGUAGGUUACAUUAUUGCUUUGCUUGGCUAUCGAAAGAUCUGUGCACAAUGGGUACUGUGAGACACUGGUUGCGGAAACAGACUGUUGACUUCUUCCAUGACAGCUUCAGAAAACUUGUUCAUCAUUAGCAGAAAUGUAUCCAAUUGUCUGGUGAUUAUGUGAACAGUGAACAGUGGUAGUUAAAGAGCAUAUUCUAAGGAUUAUUUCUGCAUUUGAUUUAUUAAAAUAUUCCCAUCCAAACACAAGUAACAAAGGUGGAGGCAUUACUUUUCAUUCAACCCUCGUACAACCUGAUCCUUAUUCCUAAGGGGGGGGGAUAUAUCUAUCAUUCUUCUAUAUAAUGAGAAGAGGAAAGCUUGGAGAAGACAAUAAUGCUGGGGAAAAUGGAAGGAAAAAGGAAGAGGGGCCGACCAAGGGCAAGAUGGAUGGAUGGUAUCCUUGAAGUGACUGGCUUGACCUUGAAGGAGCUGGAGUGGCGAGGGACGACAGGGAGCUCUGGCGUGGGCUGGUCAAUGAGGUCACGAAAAGUCGGAAGCAACUGAAUGAGUAAAUGAUAUCAUUCUUCUGAAUUAACAGAGCAAGUGGGAAUUGCAAGUAAGAAGUGUCACAUGUAGUGUUGACAGGCAAUAAUUCCCACAUAUAGCCUUCAGCAAUGUAUGUACACAGGUGUGGGUUCUUGUUGGGGCAGCAACAAGGCCCCCAAUAUCACACCUGUCCCAGUUGCCAUAAAUGCUUUAGGUGUCCCUACAGAGUUAUAGUAAGGGGCUCCAAAGGGAUUGCCUGCCCAUUCUGCUAUUUAUCCUAGUUCUGUCCAUGAAUAAAAAUGCAAUAGAGAAAAUAAGUUAAUAAUUACACACUACAAAGAAAACAAAUCUACACUCCACUAUUAUCUAUCCCAUUUUUUCUGUUACACAGCAGUCUUUGCUGAUAAAGCAUUACCAAGAGUCCCUCACUAUUAAUAACAUUCACACUUUUCUCCAGCAGACAAGAGUUCUUUCUCCCACCCCAGACCUUCCACAGAUAUAUAAAACCUCCCUUGCUUAGUUUUCCAAUAUACCUCACAAACUCUGAGGAUGCCUGCCAUAGAUGUGGGCAAAACAUCAGGAGUGAAUGCUUCUGGAACAUGGCCAUACAGCCCGGAAAAUGCACAACAACCCACUCCCUCACUAUAUGUCUUACCUUCUGGGAAUGAGUUGGGUUGCACCAACCCCAGGAAAGAGUGCACCAUAUUGAACAAGCCCUGAAGGCCGCCACUUGAAUUGCUGAGUUGUGGUACAUAUUGAGGCUGUGUGAAGUUCGACAGAGACAUCUUUGCAGGGUAACUGAACAGCACAGUCACAGGUCCUGGACAAGUUUAGCAAGACAUCAAAGAUUUUCAGGAGUCUUCUGCCAUAGAGAUUCCUGCUUCUCACUGCUCUAGAUGGGGAACUGGCCUCUUCAGUGGUAUCUCUUCAUCUUCUGCUGAUAUGUAAAGUACUUGAAAGACUUCUCCCCACUGAUCCCAGAGAGAUGUUUAUCCUGCCUGUAGUCAAAUAGAGAUAUUAAUAUGUUAGUAAAACCCAGCAACCAACCAGGAAAAAACCAAGUUGAAAAAUAUCAGUGCAUCUACUUCCUUGUCAGCAAUGGGAUGUGGUGGAAAAUGUGGUUAAUCCAGGUGGUCUGGAGUGUGGAUAUGAGACAUCAUAUACCAGGGUAUGAUAUUCAAAUUAUGAUAAGGAAAAUGCACACAAAUACCAUGUCAACCAUCAGCUAUUGAAAAAUAGUGGUUACAAAGGUUUGCACUAGUGCUCACCAAUAGCUCUACUUCAUCCUGGAGAUAAAUAACUAGUGAGGUGUCGCAGGGCUCUGUCUUGAGCUCAGUGCUAUUCAACAUUUUAAAAAUGAAUAGGAUGAUGAAAUAGAGGAUGAGCGUGUCGAGUUUUCAGACAACACUAAUGAGCUGCUGAACUUGCUGACCGAAAGGUCGGCGGUUUGAAUCCGGGGAGGGGGUGAGCUCCCUCUGUUAGCCCCAGCUUCUGCCAACCUAGAAGUUCAAUAGCAUGCAAAUGUGAGUAGAUCAAUAGGUACCACUCUGGCGGGAAGGUAACAGCACUCCAUGCAGUCAUGCCAGCCACAUGACCUUGAAGGUGUCUACAAACAACGCCGGCUCUUCGGCUUAGAAAUGGAGAUGAGCACCAACCCCUAGAGUCAGACACAACUAAAUUUAAUGUCAGGGGAAAACCUUUACCUUUAGGAGAACAGGAAAUAUAACAAUGGACAGAAUAAAAAUUCCACAUGACCUUAACAGAUGAGAGAGCUGACCCAAAAGUAGCAAAAUGAAUUUCAA
Molecule: long non-coding RNA, 3173 nt
Organism: Anolis carolinensis (green anole)
Lineage: Eukaryota; Metazoa; Chordata; Lepidosauria; Squamata; Anolidae
Exons: 2
Source: RefSeq, a predicted model, not a curated record